UACGGAGGGUGCAAGCGUUAAUCGGAAUUACUGGGCGUAAAGCGCGCGUAGGUGGUCGAGUGAGUCUGAUGUGAAAGCCCCGGGCUUAACCUGGGAACUGCAUUGGAUACUGCUUGACUCGAGUGUGGUAGAGGGUGGUGGAAUUCUAGGUGUAGCGGUGAAAUGCGUAGAUAUCUGGAGGAACCCCAAUGGCGAAGGCAACCACCUGGGCCAACACUGACACUGAGGUGCGAAAGCGUGGGGAGCAAACAGG
Molecule: ribosomal RNA, 253 nt
Filed under: uncultured bacterium
Lineage: Bacteria
Description: partial 16S ribosomal RNA
Rfam family: Bacterial small subunit ribosomal RNA
Source: RNAcentral